GAAAGUAAGCAAGGGCAGACGGUGGAUGCCUUGGCUCUCGGAGGCGAUGAAGGACGUGAUAAGCUGCGAAAAGCUCGGGGGAGGCGCAAAUAGCCCUUGAUCCCGGGAUAUCCGAAUGGGGCAACCCGGCAGGCUGAAGGCCUGCCAUCCCGUAAGGGAGGCGAACGUGGGGAACUGAAACAUCUAAGUACCCAUAGGAGGAGAAAAUAAACAAUGAUUCCGUAAGUAGUGGCGAGCGAACACGGAAGAGCCCAAACCCGUGCCGUCUAGGCGACACGGGGGUUGUAGGACCACGACGUGGCAAGAUAGAGUCAAGUGGAACGCCUUGGAAAAGGCGACCGUAGAGGGUGAUAGUCCCGUACACGACUGACGAUUGAAGCCUAGUGGCAUCCUGAGUAGCGCGGGGCACGAGAAAUCUUGCGUGAAACUGCGGGGCCCAUCCCGUAAGGCUAAAUACUCCCGAGAGACCGAUAGCGAACCAGUACCGUGAGGGAAAGGUGAAAAGAACCCCGAGCAGGGGAGUGAAAUAGACCCUGAACCCGUCUGCCUACAAGCGGUCGGAGCGUCGUAAUGACGUGACGGCGUGCCUUUUGCAUAAUGAACCUACGAGUUACCUUCCCCGGCAAGGUUAAGUACCUAAGGUACGGAGCCGAAGCGAAAGCGAGUCUGAAGAGGGCGGCCAGUCGGGGGGGGUAGACGCGAAACCGAGUGAUCUACCCUUGGCCAGGUUGAAGGUUGGGUAACACCAACUGGAGGACCGGAUGGGUAAGCGUUGAAAAGCUUUCCAAUGAGCUGAGGGUAGGGGUGAAAGGCUAAUCAAACUCGGAGAUAGCUCGUACUCCCCGAAAUGCAUUUAGGUGCAGCCUCUUUAUAGUAUAUCGUGAGGUAGAGCGACUGAUUGGAUGCGAGGGCUUCACCGCCUAUCAAGUCCAGAUAAACUCCGAAUGCGCGAUAUAUAUUUACAGGGAGUGAGGGCGCGGGUGCUAAGGUCCGUGUCCGAGAGGAGAAGAAUCCAGACCACCGGCUAAGGCCCCCAAAUGAUCGUUGAGUUGAACUAACGAGGUCGGAUCGCAGAGACAGCUAGGAUGUUGGCUUGGAAGCAGCCAUUCAUUUAAAGAGUGCGUAACAGCUCACUAGUCGAGCGAUCUGGCGUGGAUAAUAAUCGGGCAUAAACGAUCUGCCGAAGCCGUGGAUGUCGUAAGACAUGGUAGGGGAGCAUUCCAUGCGGCGUCGAAGAUGAGGGACGACCCUUGUUGGAGCGCAUGGAAAAGCAAAUGUAGGUAUGAGUAACGAUAAGGGGGGCGAGAAACCCCCCCGCCGAAAGACCAAGGUUUCCUGAUCAACGCUAAUCGGAUCAGGGUGAGUCGGGACCUAAGGCAAAGCCGAACGGCGCCGCCGAUGGAAGAAUGGGUUAAUAUUCCCAUACUGCCUCAUGGAGUGACGUGGAGACGGAGAAGUGACAGUCCUGCCGGCUGACGGAAUAGCCGGUUGAAGGGUGUAGAUAUUGAUUCCCGUAGGCAAAUCCGCGGGGAGAGUCGAACCUGAGAGUAUACCGAGUACUUGUACGAGGUAAUAUGGACGUAACCAUGCUCCCGAGAAAAUCCGCUAAACUUAUCCAUGCGGCACCCGUACCGUAAACGGACACACGUGGUCGGGUUGAGAAUACUGAGGCGCUCGAGUGACUCACGGUUAAGGAACUAGGCAAAUUGACCCUGUAACUUCGGGAUAAAGGGUCCUCGUCGUAAGGCGAGGCGCAGAGAAUAGGUCCAGGCAACUGUUUAACAAAAACACAUGGCUAUGCUAAAUGGAAACAUGACGUAUAUAGCCUGACACCUGCCCGGUGCUGGAAGGUUAAGAGGAGAUGUCAUCGCGAGAGAAGCGUUGAAUUGAAGCCCCAGUAAACGGCGGCCGUAACUAUAACGGUCCUAAGGUAGCGAAAUUCCUUGUCG
This 1949-nucleotide ribosomal RNA is filed under the name human gut metagenome. RNAcentral's name for it is "bacterial LSU rRNA". It matches the Rfam family "Bacterial large subunit ribosomal RNA", at positions 1 to 1974 of the family's 2925-position model. The record is from RNAcentral.